This 253-nucleotide ribosomal RNA is filed under the name uncultured bacterium. RNAcentral describes it as "partial 16S ribosomal RNA". It matches the Rfam family "Bacterial small subunit ribosomal RNA", at positions 524 to 776 of the family's 1533-position model. The record is from RNAcentral.
UACGGAGGGUGCGAGCGUUGUCCGGAAUCACUGGGCGUAAAGGGCGCGUAGGCGGCGCGGAUAGUCGGCGGUGAAAGCCCGGAGCUCAACUCCGGGUCGGCCGUCGAUACUUCCGGGCUUGAGCACUGUAGAGGCAGAUGGAAUUCCGGGUGUAGCGGUGGAAUGCGUAGAGAUCCGGAAGAACGCCGGUGGCGAAGGCGGUCUGCUGGGCAGUUGCUGACGCUGAUGCGCGACAGCGUGGGGAGCAAACAGG